UCCCUUCAGCUUCCACUCGCUUUUUCU
This 27-nucleotide small RNA is filed under the name Bombyx mori (domestic silkworm). RNAcentral's name for it is "ovarian small RNA-27426". Lineage: Eukaryota; Metazoa; Arthropoda; Insecta; Lepidoptera; Bombycidae. The record is from RNAcentral.